This 344-nucleotide ribosomal RNA is filed under the name uncultured bacterium. RNAcentral describes it as "bacterial SSU rRNA". It matches the Rfam family "Bacterial small subunit ribosomal RNA", at positions 28 to 355 of the family's 1533-position model. The record is from RNAcentral.
GAUGAACGCUGGCGGCGUGCUUAACACAUGCAAGUCGAACGGGGAUUACUUUAUUGAAACUUCGGUCGAUUUAAUUUAAUUCUAGUGGCGGACGGGUGAGUAACGCGUGGGUAACCUGCCUUAUACAGGGGGAUAACAGUCAGAAAUGACUGCUAAUACCGCAUAAGCGCACGGAACCGCAUGGUUCUGUGUGAAAAACUCCGGUGGUGUGAGAUGGACCCGCGUUGGAUUAGCCAGUUGGCAGGGUAACGGCCUACCAAAGCGACGAUCCAUAGCCGGCCUCAGAGGGUGAACGGCCACAUUGGGACUGAGACACGGCCCAGACUCCUACGGGAGGCAGCAGU